Long non-coding RNA from Oncorhynchus gorbuscha (pink salmon), 592 nucleotides. RefSeq lists it as uncharacterized. NCBI's taxonomy places the organism in Eukaryota, Metazoa, Chordata, Actinopteri, Salmoniformes, Salmonidae. The record is from RefSeq and is a predicted model, not a curated record. The transcript is spliced from 4 exons.
UGGAUAGAAGAAACAAUGUGAGAGGACAAGGACGAGUGUGUAUGCGAGGUGGGCGACGAGGAGGAAGAGGAGGAGGAGGGCAAGAAAGAGGAAGAGGAGGACGAAGAGGAAGACCAAGAGUGGAAAUAUCUGAUGAAAUCCGAGCAACAUUUAAAGACCAUGUUCUUGUUCAUGGACUGACAAUGAGGGAAGCAGGACUUAGAGUGCAACCUAAUUUGAGCCAAUUUUGUGUGUCCACUAUAGUAAGGACAGUCAGAGAAGAGAACAGAAUUGCAAGGCUGCCACAUGCAGGUGGAAGGACAGCUAUAUUCACUCAGGACCAAGAGGCUGUUAUAGUUGGCAUGGUCCUUCAAGAUAAUGCAAUACGACUCAGAGAAAUCCAGGAACGAGGGAUACAAGACCACACACACUUCCAGGGAAUUGACAGUGAUGUGAAUGAAACAAGUAUACAGAGUACCUUUUGAGCACAACUCACCAAGGAUGAAAGAACUGCGAGCUCAGUAUGUGCAAACAAUAUUUGACUUGGAAUCCUUGGACAGACCCCAUGAGUUCAUCUUUGUCGAUGAACUCCAUGAACUACAUGAUUGGACAG